AAGAAACGAAUGCGCACAUUCUUGCCAGAUGGAACCUUCCAGAGACGUGUCCAUUUCGAGCGUCCAUAUACGUUUUCUUCAAUAUCACUUCAAAAGCUAAACUAAAUUUACUGUGAAUUGAUGAGACAUUUGUAUUUUUUCGAAAUUUCUACUUUCUCUAGAAUCCUGUGAUCAUAUUUCAUUUCUAAAUACCCCAACAUGCCUCUGGCAUAAAAGAAAGAAGAGCUCGAAAUAGAAUUUGGUCAUUUCAAUUAAGAAAUUGAAACAAAAUCGUAAACAGUGUACUAGGAAUUUUUUAUUUGAUUGGAAUUUGAUAGCUGUGAUGAAUCGACUCUCAGAUACCAUUGUUGAUAACCCACUGCAUUACUGCUGCUGUUUCAUUGGCCAUAGUAGAAACUCUUUGGAUCCACCUCAAUUGCUGAUUUCUUUGAUGAGUGGGUUAUCGACUGUUUCAGUGGUAUUUGAUCCUUCUCCGUCAUUAUUCAUUAAGGACUGACUACUAAAGAGACUCGGCUGUGUCAAUCUGCAAAAUUUGGCAGCUGAAAGUUGUGAACUUGAAACAACUUGAGUGGAAUGAAGAAUUUGUCACUGAUGAGCAAGAAAGGAUUAAACAUCUUAAUUUAGAUUGAAGUGUCUUAGUAAGGAUCAGAAAUGGCUCUCUAACAAUCCUCGCAUAAGAAAAACAAGACAAUGAGCAACAUUACUGCAAUUAGAAUAAUAGAUUCACUGAGCAAUUGGAAGCACUUUUUCUCCACUUCAUCUAAAUUAAAGAAGAAACUGUUUAUCCAGCAUACGGAUGAAAAGAGGAUCUUUCAUUAUGUGUAGGUGAGAUAUUUAGCAGGGAAAUUAUGUAUUACAUAAUUUAAUUAUGUAAAUUAUAUAUACUAAAAACUAAUAUAUAGAAAUAUUAGUUCUUAGUAUACAUAAUUUAUGGUAUGCGGUGUCAUUAAUCAUUUAGUUAUUGAUCGAAAUGAAUCAUUAGGUUGAUUUUUUACUGUCUGUAAAUAAAGAGGAGGAAAUGGUUUUUGGUUUCGGUUUUGGUAGAUUCGAUUUUCAAUAAUGGUUUGGAACCUCACUGGGAAAAAUAUAUUCGUAUUUUAUUGUUAGAAAAUCUAUAGUAUUCAAUUUAUUAUUAAUAGAUGUGAUGUAAUUAAAUUAAAAGUGAACUUUAUCAUAAACUAAAUGGUUUUUAUUGUUAUUAAUUAAGUCAAAAUUAUAUACAUUAAAAAGGAAAAAGAAUUAUUUCCAUAUUUAUUCAGUCAUUUUGUCUUAAACCGCCUUAACGGAUGUAAGGUCCUAAGUAAUUAUUUUCAUUAGAUACAUGUAAUCCUUUUUCGUGCUGUUUAAGUGUUAAAUUUUAUUGACAGCUCUAAAGUAUCUUUUGUACACUGUUUUCUUUUGUGUUUUUUUAUAUAUCUUUUUCGAGCAAUUUUUUCUUUCACUUAAAAAAGAGAAAAUUCUCGCAUAAAUAGAAUAAGUUUUUAAAAUAAUAUGAAGCAUAAAAAUGCUCAAAAUAAUCCAAUUAUUGUUAUUAAUAUGAUAGGCAAUCCAAUGGUCGCCAAAAGGCGGAUUGGAAACAAUAACUACAUUGUUCUUAUUUCCAUUCUGUAAAUGAGAGUUUUUUAAAGGUUUGAUAGAAAGUUUCAUAAUGAAAAACAUUCAUUAGAAACAAUAAUUCUGAUUGGAUUUGGUCGUCACUAAAAUGCAUCGGCAUUGUUCGGAUAUCAUUAAACAGCUAAUAAUCCAUUGUAGUGGAUUAACCGGUAAUGUCACUAUUUCAAUAGUAUCUGGGUUGUGCUGAAUUGUAUAACUCGAAAUUAUGAUUACGUCAGCCUCCGAUAAAACGAAUAUAUGGACCAGAUCAUCAUUCCUCUCUUCACCUCAUUCAACGGAUUUGAAAGGAUUGUUAUUAUCGAUAGCGAAUGUUGUAGUUCCUAAUCCAUAGCAAAACAAUAUGUUUAAUAUUUUACCAUCCAGUUACCUGGUUUAAGCGUUUUUACUAAGAAUAUAUAGACUCUCAGUAAUCCAGCACUUCACGCUAAAAUGAUGUUUCCACAACAGUUUUAAUGCUUUCCUUUGAAAGCUAUUAAUUCUGCAAUGCCAAAAUUCCCUCUGUGAGUGAAGAAAUUUCAAAGAUAUAAAAAAUCUGAUAUUAAAAUUAGUUCUAUUGUUCAGAAAAAAAUGCUCUAAAAUACUUGUCCCAGUAAUAAAUUUACGAUAAACUUAUAAAAAAAAUGGCUGCAUUAAAAAUAUCCCCCAAAAAAUAUUGGUUAGCAUCUGCAGUUAUUAGGAAUAGUCAAACUCUAAACAUUUCAAUUUAUGGAAGAUAAGAGUGAAAUCAAAUUGAAUUCAGUGAGGAAAGGGAUUGGGAAUGUUUGAGAAAAACUUAAUACCAAUCAUUCAAUUUUCAUUUUUUUUUUACCUUUUAUUUACUUAAACUUUUGUUUACUUAUUUUAAAAUAAAAACGCAACGAUAAUUUUUACCCAUAUCCCUUGUGUCAAAGGGGCUUUUGUUUUCUAAUUUGCAAUGAACUUUUGGCUUCGCAGCAUCUUUCAAGACUGGUUUCCAAUUCUUCAUUAUCUGUCGCAACUUUAACAAAUAUUCAUAUCAUUGCCACAAGACGCAAUUAAAAAAUAUGUAAAAAAUAUGUUUCCUUCCAACAUCUGAAAACAAAUAUAAGAUACAAAAAUAUCUAAUGAAAAUCUUGAAAAUGAAAAUAAUACUUGUAAAAUUGAAUGGUUUUAUAUAAAACUUUUGGAAAUGUAAAUAAAUGUAAGAUUCCUGUAUUUCAAAUAAAUCAUUUGGAAACGAUAAUAAUAAUUACAAAAUUCAAAAAUAUCAAACAAAACACUUGUGUAUGAAUGUAACAAACACAAAAUUCAAAACACUCUUAUAAUAUUUGGGAAAAAAAUAUGUAAUAUAAAAAAUAUUUGUAUUUUGUAAAAAAUAAGUAUUUGGACACAUGAUAAGAGAGGGUAGCUCAAUCACUGUCAGGGGUGUAACAAUUUCCCCUGAGGUAUUCACCACCUUAGUCUAAUUAUCAUGUGCUAUUAAUUAUUAAGUAUAUAAGAAUCUUGGUAUGUUACUUUUUUCGUUCACAAGGUCUGCGUGCAUAAUUUUUAAUAACCUUUGAGUUAGAAAAAUUUAAUUAAAAUUGGGGAGAUCAUUUUUUCUUAGUUAUUAAUAGCAUGCACAUAAAUUUCAAAUUAAACAAAUUAUAAUAUUAUGAAUGAAUUUUAAAUAAUAGGUAUGAGAAAAUUUAAAAACUCAAUAUUUUAAACUAAAGCUCAUGAUAUUUUGAAUAAUAAUAUAAAAAGAUUAUUUGCUAUUAUAUUAUAAUAGAAAAAUGCAAUUUAAAAUCAAAUCAAAAGUACAGAAUAAAAAUUUUGAAUUUCACUCGUUGAGUCAGCUGAUGGAUGAUUUUUUUCUUUUUAAAACACUGGUCACUUUUUGAAGAAUAUUCACUUUUUUAAUUAACCACAAAAUGCAAUUUGGAGCACUGGAACUGGAGACUAUAACAGGUGACUAUUAUAUUGUAGUGAUAAUAUUAAAAGGAAAUGACGUCGAGAGCGGGAUUAUUCAGCACAGGUAAGGAGCCAGAAAUUUUUUAUGAUGACAAGGAGCUCCAAUUCCUUGAAAAUAUAAGGAGCACGCACAUGACGAUAUGGAGCACUAAUACAAGGGUAUUAAGCAGCAGUGUUGGAUGAAGUCACAGGUUAGGCAUGGUACCAUCGACGAUGCGGUAACAUGACUGAAUGCAGGGGAUUCAAAGGAAACUGGACUACGGUUUGCAUGAAAUAUACGUACAUAUAUAUACAUUUCAUGCAAGCAUAUAUAUAUAUAUAUAUAUAUAUAUAUAUAUAUAUAUAUCGAUUGUAAAUAAAGUUAGUUAACUCAGAUUAAAUUUUCCUCGGAAUGCGUAAUCGAUGCCAGAGCGGAACUGGGGAUCCAUUGUUGGACCAUUCACCAUCUACAAUAAUGAUAUCCCCUUCCUCAGAAAUUACCUUACCCAAAUAUGUCUAUUGGCCGACGACACUGCCCUCAUGAGCACCAGUGCAUCCAGAAUGAUAAUGGAACAACAACAAAAAAAUACUUUGGCCGAUGGUUAAUCAUGUGGGAAAUAAAAGUUAACGCAGACAAAUGUCAAGGAGUUAAUUUCACCAGAAGAAAAAUCGUUCGGAUACCCCGUCCCCCCCUAGAAUUAUAUAAAAAUCCUAAUUGAAUGGAGCAUUAAUACAAAGUAUUUAGGAGUAAUACUUGACAAAAAGUUUAUAAGGAUCACAUCACUCAAGUAAGAAAUAAAUUUUAGGCCAUGAAAGCAAAAUUAUCCCACUCGUAAGCACUAAAACAAAACUCUCUCUGAGAAACAAGCUUUUGCUCUACAAGGCAAUGCUUAGAUCCAACAUGAGCUAGGCAUCCCCUGUGUGGUUCACAGCCACUAAAUCACAGAUUAAUAAACUGGAAAAAUUAAGAAACAUAGUUGUAAGACAAAUAAAGACUUCCCAUAGUUUAUCAGAAAUAAAUAUAUCCAAAAGGAUCUAAACCUUCCCUCCAAAUAGAAUUCUUUCAAAAAACUAGCAAAUAAUUUCUUCAAUAAAAUACACUUUCUGUCAAACCCCGCGAUCUAAGCAAUACCGACCUACGAUCCCCUCAACCCAGAAAAGAAAGGAGACCUCGUGCCCUUGUCCCUUAAUUCACCAGCUGUGCUGCCAGAAACUUCCAUGUACCACUGACGGGAAGCAUUGGAAAGGAAACGACACCAUGGAGCUCAUCCCCACCACCAAUUGCGGACCAGACAUUUUCAGGACUUGUGAGGAAAACCCAAAGGAAUGAGACUGAAAUGAGCAAAGACAAGAUGACAACCAUUUGAACCUGACCAGCUGAGCCGAACGCACCAGAUGUUACACGCAGGUUAGGCGUCGAAGAUUGUGAACCAUUGAGAUCAGGUGCUCCGUCAAAACAACCUCAUCAGUAAUGAAUUAUCUCAGACUUGUUGCAUUUGAAUGGCUAAGCAAUCGUUUACAUUUGUGAUCCGGUUUUUUUGACCGCUCUUGCUGUGUGGAUCUGAUGCCUACUCCAACAUAAACUCUGCUCGUGUCUCAGUUUCCUAGACCUCUUUUGGAUGUUUCUACGAUCAGACCUUUAUCUGAAAAUGUUUCUGGUGUUUAUUACGGAAAUUUAAAGACAGAUUAUCAGGGAUGAAUAAAUGUUGCUGCAUCUACUGUCUGCCACACCACGUUAGAAGCAAAUUAAUUGUCGAAAGGAAAAAGAAAUGUUUCCAGGGUACUAACAGAGCAAGACAAAUCUUAAAAUUGAAAAUCACGGAAACAAUCACAGUGGGGUCCCUUGGAUUUGUUUACAUCUGUCUUCUGCCACUUCUACAUCCGAAUUAGAGGAAUUGUCAUCCUGGAAGUCAAAAACAUUUUAAGGCUAAUAACAGAAGUUGAAAAAUUUCAAGAUUUUUGAUGACAAAGAAGAUAUUUUUUCUCACCUACUCUUAAGAAAGUACCUGUAUUCUCACUGAAUGGAAAUAUAUUUAAAAUAUACGUGGACAACUUCAGCAUUGUGUCAAAUGAAAGAAUCGGAGUUAAUACCCCACAAGACGACUUACAGAUCCAUGAAAUUUCAUGAAUUACAUAUUUUAUUUAUUCCUUCUCAUUUUCUUGUUGUAAAUAAAGCAAUGAAUUCUUUUUCCCUCUUUGAGAAA
Molecule: long non-coding RNA, 5708 nt
Organism: Argiope bruennichi
Lineage: Eukaryota; Metazoa; Arthropoda; Arachnida; Araneae; Araneidae
Exons: 8
Source: RefSeq, a predicted model, not a curated record